UACAGAGGGGGCAAGCGUUGUUCGGAAUUACUGGGCGUAAAGGGCGCGUAGGCGGCCUUCUAAGUCAGACGUGAAAUCCCUCGGCUCAACCGGGGAACUGCGUUUGAUACUGUCGGGCUAGAGUGUGGAAGGGGCGAUUGGAAUUCCGUGUGUAGCGGUGAAAUGCGUAGAUAUACGGAGGAACACCAGGGGCGAAGGCGGAUCGCUGGGCCAACACUGACGCUGAUGUGCGAAAGCUAGGGGAGCAAACGGG
RNAcentral lists this ribosomal RNA (253 nucleotides) under uncultured bacterium. RNAcentral describes it as "partial 16S ribosomal RNA". It matches the Rfam family "Bacterial small subunit ribosomal RNA", at positions 524 to 776 of the family's 1533-position model. The record is from RNAcentral.